This 253-nucleotide ribosomal RNA is filed under the name uncultured bacterium. RNAcentral's name for it is "partial 16S ribosomal RNA". It matches the Rfam family "Bacterial small subunit ribosomal RNA", at positions 524 to 776 of the family's 1533-position model. The record is from RNAcentral.
UACGUAGGGUGCGAGCGUUGCACGGAUUUAUUGGGCGUAAAGGGCGCGUAGGCGGUCACGCACGCCCGUUGUGAAAUCGCUCGGCUCAACUGGGCGGGGUCAGCGGAUACGGCGUGGCUGGAGCAAGCUAGGGGGCAAUGGAAUUCCCGGUGUAGUGGUGGAAUGCGUAGAUAUCGGGAGGAACACCAGUGGCGAAGGCGGUUGCCUGGAGCUUUGCUGACGCUGAUGCGCGAAAGCGUGGGGAGCGAUCCGG